CAAGUCGAACGCGAAAGGGGGGGCAACCCCCCAAGUAGAGUGGCGAACGGGUGAGUAAUACAUCGGAACGUACCCAGUAGCGGGGGAUAACCUCUCGAAAGAGAGGCUAAUACCGCAUACGACCUACGGGUGAAAGAGGGGGAUCGCAAGACCUCUCACUAUUGGAGCGGCCGAUGUCGGAUUAGCUAGUUGGCGGGGUAACGGCCCACCAAGGCGACGAUCCGUAGCUGGUCUGAGAGGACGACCAGCCACACUGGAACUGAGACACGGUCCAGACUCCUACGGGAGGCAGCAGUGGGGAAUUUUGGACAAUGGGCGCAAGCCUGAUCCAGCCAUGCCGCGUGGGUGAAGAAGGCCUUCGGGUUGUAAAGCCCUUUCGGCUGGGACGAAAAGGUCCGUGUUAACACCACGGAUCCAUGACGGUACCAGCAGAAGAAGCACCGGCUAACUACGUGCCAGCAGCCGCGGUAAUACGUAGGGUGCAGGCGUUAAUCGGAAUUACUGGGCGUAAAGCGUGCGCAGGCGGUCUUUUAAGUCAGAUGUGAAAUCCCCGGGCUUAACCUGGGAACUGCGUUUGAAACUGGAAGGCUUGAGUGUGGCAGAGGGGGGUGGAAUUCCACGUGUAGCAGUGAAAUGCGUAGAGAUGUGGAGGAACACCGAUGGCGAAGGCAGCCCCCUGGGCUAACACUGACGCUCAUGCACGAAAGCGUGGGGAGCAAACAGGAUUAGAUACCCUGGUAGUCCACGCCCUAAACUAUGUCAACUGGUUGUCGGGGAAGCAAUUCCUUGGUAACGAAGCUAACGCGUGAAGUUGACCGCCUGGGGAGUACGGCCGCAAGGUUAAAACUCAAAGGAAUUGACGGGGACCCGCACAAGCGGUGGAUUAUGUGGAUUAAUUCGAUGCACCGCGAAAAACCUUACCUACCCUUGACAUGUACGGAA
RNAcentral lists this ribosomal RNA (942 nucleotides) under uncultured beta proteobacterium. RNAcentral describes it as "bacterial SSU rRNA". It matches the Rfam family "Bacterial small subunit ribosomal RNA", at positions 58 to 995 of the family's 1533-position model. The record is from RNAcentral. Lineage: Bacteria; Pseudomonadati; Pseudomonadota; Betaproteobacteria.